CUGUUGAGAUGUUAAAUGUCUCCUAAUGCAGGCAUUCUCAACACUCUGAUGGCACAUUGGUGAUUAACCAGCUGACGUCAGAUGAUUCAGGGCUUUAUACCUGCACCGUCACGGACGCCCAAAAGUCUGAACAACGCCAAAUCCAGCUCAGGGUUGUUGGCGACCUCAGGAUCACUAAAGCCCCCACGGAUGUCGAUGUGCCGCAGGGCAGCACUGCUCAACUGCCCUGUGUAGUGACCGGAGAAAAUGUGAACGUUGGCUGGUCACGGAAUGGUGUGCCAGUGCGACCGGACGGACAUCAUGUGCAUGUGUCAGCAGACGGGACACUAAUACUAAAUAAUGUCCAGUCAGUGGAUGAGGGGACGUAUACCUGCAAUGCCUACACUGGGACGUACUCGGUCAGCGCAGCGGCUGAAGUGCGACUGGCCAAAUCCCCUCAACAAGGUCAGUGGAGUGAGAACGAG
Sinocyclocheilus grahami is the source of this 464-nucleotide long non-coding RNA. RefSeq lists it as uncharacterized. The transcript has 3 exons. The record is from RefSeq and is a predicted model, not a curated record. NCBI's taxonomy places the organism in Eukaryota, Metazoa, Chordata, Actinopteri, Cypriniformes, Cyprinidae.